CAGCCGCCGCGGGAAUACGGAGGGGGCUAGCGUUGUUCGGAAUUACUGGGCGUAAAGCGCACGUAGGCGGCUUGGUAAGUUAGAGGUGAAAGCCUGGAGCUCAACACCAGAAUUGCCUUUAAGACUGCCGAGCUAGCAGGUGAGAGAGGUAAGUGGAAUUCCGAGUGUAGAGGUGAAAUUCGUAGAUAUUCGGAAGAACACCAGUGGCGAAGGCGGCUUACUGGCUCAUACUGGACGCUGAGGUGCGAAAGCGUGGGGAGCAAACAGGAUUAGAUACCCCCGUAGUCCCUGUCUCUUAUAC
RNAcentral lists this ribosomal RNA (301 nucleotides) under uncultured bacterium. Its description in RNAcentral is "partial 16S ribosomal RNA". It matches the Rfam family "Bacterial small subunit ribosomal RNA", at positions 509 to 807 of the family's 1533-position model. The record is from RNAcentral.